CGCGGGAUGGAGCAGCCCGGUAGCUCGUCAGGCUCAUAACCUGAAGGUCGUAGGUUCAAAUCCUGCCCCCGUCUCAA
This 77-nucleotide transfer RNA is filed under the name Sphingobium sp. TKS. Its description in RNAcentral is "tRNA-Met". It matches the Rfam family "tRNA". Rfam says of the family: Transfer RNA (tRNA) molecules are approximately 80 nucleotides in length. Their secondary structure includes four short double-helical elements and three loops (D, anti-codon, and T loops). The record is from RNAcentral. Lineage: Bacteria; Pseudomonadati; Pseudomonadota; Alphaproteobacteria; Sphingomonadales; Sphingobiaceae.